CGUUACAUAUGACAUUGAUCUAGUCCUGGAAUUGCGUAUCCCAGUCUCCAGUGUGCCAUCAAUUUCAUUGAACUAUUCAGGAACACUGUGAGAAGUGUCUUGCUCCCCUACACCAUCAAUCAGUCUUUAAAAGUGAUAGGUUUAAAUUUCACCACAGGUUGCUAUCCAAACUCCACUGGAGGACUGCAGUGUCACUGCGAAGAGCAGUUUGCUUGGUCAUGUGACCAGUGCAACAUCUACGGUGCGUGCAGCAAUGCCACCAGCCAAACCUGUGGGUGCAUAAAUGGACUUCCGUCUGAUGGAGCGCUCUGUGAACCAAUCACAAAUGUCACACCGUGUCCAACCCCCACUCCUAACGUUACAUAUGACAUUGAUCUAGUCCUGGAAUUGCGUAUCCCAGUCUCCAGUGUGCCAUCAUAUUUCAUUGAACUAUUCAGGAACACUGUGAGAAGUGUCUUGCUCCCUACACCAUCAAUCAGUCUUUAAAAGUGAUAGGUUUAAAUUUCACCACAGGUUGCUAUCCAAACUCCACUGGAGGACUGCAGUGUCACUGCGAAGAGCAGUUUGCUUGGUCAUGUGACAAGUGCAACAUCUACGGUGCGUGCAGCAAUGCCACCAGCCAAACCUGUGGGUGCAUAAAUGGACUUCCGUCUGAUGGAGCGCUCUGUGAACCAA
Molecule: long non-coding RNA, 675 nt
Organism: Micropterus salmoides (largemouth bass)
Lineage: Eukaryota; Metazoa; Chordata; Actinopteri; Centrarchiformes; Centrarchidae
Exons: 5
Source: RefSeq, a predicted model, not a curated record